CACACACACACACACACCCUCACUUUCUCUCCUGCUCUGUUGUUCUUUUUGUUCUCUCUCUCCGACACGUCUUGAGUUAAGAAGGGUAUCAAGUCGCUCGCCCAUCUGUGAUGCCGACGGCACGGAGUUGGCUGAGACACGAGCGCACACCGGCGCUUGAAAUACACACACAAGUUACAUAAAGACACGGCGCGACGCACACACGUCCACAGAUGUGAGGAUGUUCUGCUCAUCACAUCCUCAUGUGAGCAUUUGUAUCCAGAAAGGGACGUUCUGGAUGCUCAAAGAAAGACCUCAAGUCCUCUUUUUAUGUUCAAGAUGAAGUCGAUGAAACUCGACAGUCUUCGGUCGUUAGAAGGAAGAACCGCGACAGGCGAGCGCUCGUUUCCCUUCCCUGAGAUUUAGUGUCAGUCAGACGGCCAAUUAAGAUCCGCACUGAUGGACGAGCACGGAAUGAAGAGUCACACCCUGCUCUCCAACUGGCCACGCAAGCUUCCCACAUUCCAACCUGCACCGCUGUCUUUUCAGAAUCCCCGGCUUAUGCUUCCUUCCCGUUGUGGCUCAAAAAAUGUAAAAACUAAUGUUUGGCAGCCGACCGCGCCGUCACUGUCACUCAGGUAUGUUGAUGGAUGGCAUCAGUGACUAUUUGUGUCAGUUGAGUUUUAAUGGACGUUUCAGAGUAAUUUACGGCCACUUGUCACGACUAGUUUACGCUUCCAGAGCCAAAGCUUCCCUCCCUCCCUCCGUCUGAAAAAGAAAAUGCCUUCUGUG
This is a long non-coding RNA of Gasterosteus aculeatus aculeatus (three-spined stickleback), 771 nucleotides long. The record is from Ensembl. Lineage: Eukaryota; Metazoa; Chordata; Actinopteri; Perciformes; Gasterosteidae.